This 30-nucleotide non-coding RNA is filed under the name Mus musculus (house mouse). The record is from RNAcentral. Lineage: Eukaryota; Metazoa; Chordata; Mammalia; Rodentia; Muridae.
UUAAAAUGAGACAGCACAAGGGUGUAAAAG